RNAcentral lists this ribosomal RNA (1349 nucleotides) under metagenome. Its description in RNAcentral is "bacterial LSU rRNA". It matches the Rfam family "Bacterial large subunit ribosomal RNA", at positions 1564 to 2925 of the family's 2925-position model. The record is from RNAcentral.
UGAGUGCGAGCUGCUACGGCAGCGAAGUUGGUGACGUCAUGCUUCCAAGAAAAGCCCUAUACCCGUUAAGGCAUCAUGGCCUGUACCCGAAACCGACACAGGUGGGGUGGUAGAGAAUACCGAGGGGCGCGAGGUAACUCUCUCUAAGGAACUCGGCAAAAUGGCCCCGUAACUUCGGGAGAAGGGGUGCCACCGCAAGGUGGUCGCAGUGAAGAGGCCCAGGCGACUGUUUACCAAAAACACAGGUCUCCGCUAAGUCGCAAGACGAUGUAUGGGGGCUGACGCCUGCCCAGUGCCGGAAGGUUAAGGAAGCUGGUCAGCGCAAGCGAAGCUAGCAACUGAAGCCCCGGUGAACGGCGGCCGUAACGAUAACGGUCCUAAGGUAGCGAAAUUCCUUGUCGGGUAAGUUCCGACCCGCACGAAAGGCGUAACGAUCUGGGCGCUGUCUCGGAGAGAGGCUCGGCGAAAUAGAAUUGUCUGUGAAGAUGCGGACUACGUGCACCCGGACAGAAAGACCCUAUGAAGCUUUACUGUAGCUUGGUAUUGUGCCCGGGCUCGCAAUGCGCAGGAUAGGUGGGAGGCUUUGAUCAUCGGCUUGCGGGUCGAUGUGAGCCAACGGUGAGAUACCACUCUUUGCGAGCUAGGGUUCUAACGGCCACCCGUCAUCCGGGGGCCGGACAGUACCUGGUGGGCAGUUUGACUGGGGCGGUCGCCUCCUAAAAGGUAACGGAGGCGCGCAAAGGUUUGCUCAGGCUGGUUGGAAAUCAGCCGACGAGUGUAAAAGCAGAAGCAAGCUUGACUGUGAGACCAACAAGUCGAACAGGGAGGAAACUCGGCUUUAGUGAUCCGACGGUUCUGAGUGGAAGGGCCGUCGCUCAACGGAUAAAAGUUACUCUAGGGAUAACAGGCUGAUCUCCCCCAAGAGUUCACAUCGACGGGGAGGUUUGGCACCUCGAUGUCGGCUCAUCGCAACCUGGGGCUGAAGUCGGUCCCAAGGGUUGGGCUGUUCGCCCAUUAAAGCGGUACGCGAGCUGGGUUCAGAACGUCGUGAGACAGUUCGGUCCAUAUCCGGUGCACGCGCAGGAAUAUUGAGAGGAUUUCUCCCUAGUACGAGAGGACCGGGAGGAACGCACCUCUGGUGUACCAGUUAUCGUGCCAACGGUAAACGCUGGGUAGCCAUGUGCGGAGUGGAUAACCGCUGAAAGCAUCUAAGUGGGAAGCCCACCUCAAGAUGAGUAUUCCCAUGGCGUAAGCCAGUAAGGUCACGGGAAGAACACCCGUUGAUAGGCUCUAUGUGGAAGCGCAGUAAUGCGUGAAGCAGAGGAGUACUAAUAGACCGAGGGCUUGAU